Molecule: ribosomal RNA, 468 nt
Filed under: uncultured bacterium
Lineage: Bacteria
Description: partial 16S ribosomal RNA
Rfam family: Bacterial small subunit ribosomal RNA
Source: RNAcentral
GACGAACGCUGGCGGCGUGCUUAACACAUGCAAGUCGAACGGAAAGGCCCUGCUUUUGUGGGGUGCUCGAGUGGCGAACGGGUGAGUAACACGUGAGUAACCUGCCCUUGACUUUGGGAUAACUUCAGGAAACUGGGGCUAAUACCGGAUCGGAGCUCCUGCUGCAUGGUGGGGGUUGGAAAGUUUCGGCGGUUGGGGAUGGACUCGCGGCUUAUCAGCUUGUUGGUGGGGUAGUGGCUUACCAAGGCUUUGACGGGUCGCCGGCCUGAGAGGGUGACCGGCCACAUUGGGACUGAGAGACGGCCCAGACUCCUACGGGAGGCAGCAGUGGGGAAUAUUGCACAAUGGGCGGAAGCCUGAUGCAGCAACGCCGCGUGCGGGAUGACGUCCUUCGGGUUGUAAACCGCUUUCGCCUGUGACGAAGCGUGAGUGACGGUAAUGGGUAAAGAAGCACCGGCUAACUACGUG